This 547-nucleotide ribosomal RNA is filed under the name uncultured bacterium. RNAcentral describes it as "bacterial SSU rRNA". It matches the Rfam family "Bacterial small subunit ribosomal RNA", at positions 355 to 896 of the family's 1533-position model. The record is from RNAcentral.
UAGGGAAUCUUCGGCAAUGGACGGAAGUCUGACCGAGCAACGCCGCGUGAGUGAAGAAGGUUUUCGGAUCGUAAAGCUCUGUUGUAAGAGAAGAACGGGUGUGAGAGUGGAAAGUUCACACUGUGACGGUAUCUUACCAGAAAGGGACGGCUAACUACGUGCCAGCAGCCGCGGUAAUACGUAGGUCCCGAGCGUUGUCCGGAUUGUUUUUGNUUAAGGCGCAAGCGGUCAGGCNAUUAUAAUUAAAUUAAAGGCUGUGGGUUANCACAUNCCCUUUNNAAACUGUUUAACUUGAGUGCAANNGGGGAGAGUGGAAUUCCAUGUGUAGCGGUGAAAUGCGUAGAUAUAUGGAGGAACACCGGUGGCGAAAGCCGCUUUUUGGCUUGUAACCGACGCUGAGGCUCGAAAGCGUGGGGAGCAAACAGGAUUAGAUACCCUGGUAGUCCACGCCGUAAACGAUGAGUGCUAGGUGUUAGACCCUUUCCGGGGUUUAGUGCCGCAGCUAACGCAUUAAGCACUCCGCCUGGGGAGUACGACCGCAAGGUUG